GAUGAACGCUGGCGGCGUGCUUAACACAUGCAAGUCGAACGGUGAAGGCGGAGCUUGCUCUGCUGGAUCAGUGGCGAACGGGUGAGUAACACGUGAGCAAUCUGCCCCUGACUCUGGGAUAAGCGCUGGAAACAGCGUCUAAUACUGGAUACGAGCUGCGAAGGCAUCUUCAGCAGCUGGAAAGAACUUCGGUCAGGGAUGAGCUCGCGGCCUAUCAGCUUGUUGGUGAGGUAACGGCUCACCAAGGCGUCGACGGGUAGCCGGCCUGAGAGGGUGACCGGCCACACUGGGACUGAGACACGGCCCAGACUCCUACGGGAGGCAGCAGUGGGGAAUAUUGCACAAUGGGCGAAAGCCUGAUGCAGCAACGCCGCGUGAGGGACGACGGCCUUCGGGUUGUAAACCUCUUUUAGCAGGGAAGAAGCGAAAGUGACGGUACCUGCAGAAAAAGCGCCGGCUAACUACGUG
RNAcentral lists this ribosomal RNA (468 nucleotides) under uncultured bacterium. RNAcentral's name for it is "partial 16S ribosomal RNA". It matches the Rfam family "Bacterial small subunit ribosomal RNA", at positions 28 to 507 of the family's 1533-position model. The record is from RNAcentral.